RNAcentral lists this transfer RNA (74 nucleotides) under Luteimonas sp. RNAcentral's name for it is "tRNA-Gly". It matches the Rfam family "tRNA". From Rfam's summary of the family: Transfer RNA (tRNA) molecules are approximately 80 nucleotides in length. Their secondary structure includes four short double-helical elements and three loops (D, anti-codon, and T loops). Lineage: Bacteria; Pseudomonadati; Pseudomonadota; Gammaproteobacteria; Lysobacterales; Lysobacteraceae. The record is from RNAcentral.
GCGGGAGUAGUUCAAUGGUAGAACUGUAGCCUUCCAAGCUAUUAGUGCGGGUUCGAUUCCCGUCUCCCGCUCCA